UGAGAGUGGCCUAAUGUGUUGCGACA
This 26-nucleotide non-coding RNA is filed under the name Homo sapiens (human). Lineage: Eukaryota; Metazoa; Chordata; Mammalia; Primates; Hominidae. The record is from RNAcentral.